AGAACAUGUUGAAAGUCACUGGAAGGUGUGUCCGAUGUGCAGCGAGCAGUUCCCUCCUGACUACGACCAGCAGGUGUUUGAAAGGGUUGCUGAAUGCUUCCCCUGAAAAAAGGUGGCUGUUUUCAAAAUCAGCAACUGCUGGUGAGGAUUUCUUGGCACAGUUAUGACCAGCAUGUUAUUGCUGCAUCUUCCUGAUAAUCUCAGCCGACACCGGGGGAUGGAAAUUGAUUGUGUGGUGCCGCAGGCCCUGAGCUGUCUUGUAACUCUUCCCACAGCGACAUUUGAAUGGUUUGCGGACACGAAUCUGUGUUCUGUGACCAUUCUUAGCGUGAUACUUUAUGCCAUUCACAUUCUGUGGAGAAGACAAAAAUAUUUAUUAGAUGGAUUCACAGAAUGCCUGUCAAACUUCGGAAACCUCAGUUUGGGUCUGGAUGGCAGUCCUGGAUGGCAGCUGUUUAGAGUGUAGUCUUUUGCAAGGACUCCAUUUGGGACCCUUCAAGGACAUUCUGGUGUGUCGAUCAUGGGC
RNAcentral lists this small RNA (526 nucleotides) under Pongo abelii (Sumatran orangutan). Its description in RNAcentral is "processed transcript". The record is from RNAcentral. Lineage: Eukaryota; Metazoa; Chordata; Mammalia; Primates; Hominidae.